Pelobates cultripes (western spadefoot toad) is the source of this 941-nucleotide non-coding RNA. NCBI's taxonomy places the organism in Eukaryota, Metazoa, Chordata, Amphibia, Anura, Pelobatidae. The record is from the annotation of a GenBank genome assembly.
AAAGGCUAUGUUUUUCAAAUCCACAGAAAAAACAGUAAGAAAGAUGGCGAUGCCAACACCCGAAGUGACGAAUGGACGUGACGUCACUUUCGGAAAUCAGUACGGCAAGCUGUAAAUGAAACGUCCACGACAACGGUGGACCAGAUUGGAUAAACAAGGACCAAGAGGACCUUUCCACUAGCUGGUUUGCACUAGCUGGUUAUCCGAGAGUGUGUUCCUGAUCGUGUAUUUUCUGGUAUUUGACUUUUGCUUUGUUUUGACUUCCCUGAUUUGUGGUAUGCUUGACUUCUGGCCUUACUCAUCGUUGUGUCACGUUCUGUGUCCCUGACCUCGGCAAGUAUUUUGACUAUUCUCCGUUACGUUAAGUCCGGCCAUUCCAAGGGUCCUGUUAAACUUCAUCCUUAGUCCUAGGUGUGAGACUAUUCUGCGUGCUGGAUCAAUUAUAAUCCUGACACAUUACAUUAUCCCAUACAGUCUGUUCAGAAAUUAAUUAUUUAAAUCCAUUGGCCUAAAAAUGGUUUGUAAAACAAAGCAAAUGAAAGUCAGUAAUUAUGAUAUGUAGUGUUUACUUCAACAUGUACACUCUGUGUAAAUGAUUAGUCAUUAGAAGUCAUUUUUCUACAGUGUGAUAUAAUAACUAGCAGUAUUGAAUUCCAUUUAGCUGUGUUACCUAGUUCUGCUCAAUUAUUUUUUUCUUCUGUACCAUCCUUUCUUAAAUUGUGCAAAAUUCUCCUACCAAGAGGAAACAUAUUGUCAUUUUGCUUUUUGUGUGGCAAAUCGCCUAAUUGUAAUCUUGUUCAUCUUAAGUAUAUCUGGGUAAAAUGAUUCCUAUAAUUUAAUCAAUUUCACCAGUGAUCAAGGGAGAACAUAUAGAAGGUCAGGGCAGGUUAUUUAAAUAGUGGGACUGCCAAAAUGAACUUUAUGCCACAUCACUGAAGGAG